RNAcentral lists this long non-coding RNA (856 nucleotides) under Coffea arabica (coffee). RNAcentral's name for it is "long non-coding RNA (CARA_LNC005987)". Lineage: Eukaryota; Viridiplantae; Streptophyta; Magnoliopsida; Gentianales; Rubiaceae. The record is from RNAcentral.
CAAGUUUUUGUUUCACCAACAAUCCACCAAAAACCUCCACAAGGCAACAACUUUCCUCUAGCUAGAGCAAUAUCCAAAGGUCUUGAGGUUUGGGUAUGAAUUUUUGAGCAAGAUUAAGGCCAAAAGUUGAAGCUUUUUCUUCCUUCUUCUUGAGCUCCAAGUUCGGCCAAGAGAGAGAGAGAAUGAGGGAAGAUGAGGUUUUGAUUUGUGGUGUAAAGGUAAGAAGAAAAGCUAAUCUUUUGUUUGGUGAGAAAGUCAACUUUGAAUAGUGGUGUAAUAGUGCCCUGCACUACCAAUUUCCUUCUUGUUUGCUACACUUAAAUACUAAUUCUCCAAGGUAGUUCCUCUAACACUACAAAUACUCAUUCUUACUAGUUUAAAAUUAAUUCUCCAAAUCUCCGAUUAGUCGCGCCGGUGCGAAUUUUGAAAAAUUUUGAUGCGUAAACGAUAAAAAUAUAAUUUAAGUAAAAUUCAUGCUAAAAUAAUAAAAUGAAAUAACACCAAUGCAAAUAAUUUUAAAAUAGACUAAAUUAAAAAUAAAAAUAUGAAUCCUUACACAACCAUCAAGAUUAAAGUCAAGACAAUCAUUCUCUUCUCCGCCAUCAUAUCUAAUUCUUGUCUGACAACUCUUUAUCUGGAAUCACAGGUUCUUGCCAAUUCUCUUCAAUCACUUUGUCAUUCACUAGCCUUUUUCUAUUUUCUCCCAAAGCUAGUUCUUCUACUAUUGCCUUUUCUCAUUCAACUUUUUAGUUACCUUGAGCUAUGGCAGUGCUUAAUGCUUCAUCUUGUGAUGAAACUUGAGAUAGCUUUUGAGCUAAAAUUUGAGAUGGAAUUUGUUGAAUCACAUUAGGCCCUC